AUGAACGCUAGCGACAGGCCUAACACAUGCAAGUCGAGGGCAGCACAAGGAGCAAUCUGAGGUGGCGACCGGCGCACGGGUGAGUAACACGUAUGCAACCUGCCUGUAAGCGGGGAAUAACCCGUUGAAAGACGGACUAAUACCGCAUAAUACUAAAUUACUGCAUGGUAAUUAUUUAAACAUUUAUGGCUUACAGAUGGGCAUGCGCAUGAUUAGCUAGUUGGAGAGGUAACGGCUCCCCAAGGCAACGAUCAUUAGGGGUUCUGAGAGGAAGGUCCCCCACACUGGUACUGAGACACGGACCAGACUCCUACGGGAGGCAGCAGUGAGGAAUAUUGGUCAAUGGACGAGAGUCUGAACCAGCCAAGUCGCGUGCAGGAAGAAUGUUCCCUAUGGAUUGUAAACUGCUUUUGCAGGGGAAUAAAGUGCAUCACGUGUGAUGUUUUGUAUGUACUCUGCGAAUAAGGAUCGGCUAACUCCGUGCCAGCCGCCGC
RNAcentral lists this ribosomal RNA (494 nucleotides) under uncultured bacterium. Its description in RNAcentral is "bacterial SSU rRNA". It matches the Rfam family "Bacterial small subunit ribosomal RNA", at positions 29 to 518 of the family's 1533-position model. The record is from RNAcentral.